Molecule: ribosomal RNA, 316 nt
Filed under: uncultured bacterium
Lineage: Bacteria
Description: bacterial SSU rRNA
Rfam family: Bacterial small subunit ribosomal RNA
Source: RNAcentral
GAUAAACGCUGGCGGCGCACAUAAGACAUGCAAGUCGAACGAACUUAACUCAUUCUUUUAGUUUGAGAGCGGUUAGUGGCGGACUGGUGAGUAACACGUAAGCAACCUGCCUAUCAGAGGGGAAUAACAGUGAGAAAUCACUGCUAAUACCGCAUAUGCUCACAGUACCACAUGGUACAGUGAGGAAAGGAGCAAUCCGCUGAUAGAUGGGCUUGCGUCUGAUUAGCUAGUUGGUGGGGUAACGGCCUACCAAGGCAACGAUCAGUAGCCGGACUGAGAGGUUGAACGGCCACAUUGGGACUGAGAUACGGCCCAG